GACGAACGCUGGCGGCGUGCCUAAUACAUGCAAGUCGAACGCAGUGGGGACGGGUGAGUAACACGUGGGUAACCUCCCAUCAGAGGGGAUAACACGUGGAAACAGGUGCUAAACCGAUCCUGCUGGAUGGACCCGCGGUGCUUUGGCUAGUUGGAGAGGUAACGGCUCACCAAGGCCACGAGUCAUAGCCGGCCUGAGAGGGGGAGCGCCCAAACUGGGACUGAGACACGGCCCAGACUCCUACGGGAGGCAGCAGUAGGGAAUAUUCGGCAAUGGACGAAAGUCUGACCGAGCAACGCCGCGUGAGUGAAGAAGGUUUUCGGAUCGUAAAACUCUGUUGUUAGGGAAGCGGUAUCUAACCAGAAAGCCACGGCUAACUACGUGCCAGCAGCCGCGGUAAUUC
This 403-nucleotide ribosomal RNA is filed under the name uncultured bacterium. RNAcentral describes it as "partial 16S ribosomal RNA". It matches the Rfam family "Bacterial small subunit ribosomal RNA", at positions 28 to 526 of the family's 1533-position model. The record is from RNAcentral.